Molecule: unclassified non-coding RNA, 229 nt
Filed under: Hevea brasiliensis (rubber tree)
Lineage: Eukaryota; Viridiplantae; Streptophyta; Magnoliopsida; Malpighiales; Euphorbiaceae
Source: RNAcentral
GGGAAGCGAAGGUGGAGUGGACGGAGACGUCGGAUUCCGACGCUGUCUUGGAGAGAACCAUGGUGAAGAGAGAGAGAGUGAAAGAGAACGCUAGAGAGGUGAGAUGUGAGAGAGGCAGCCGGGAAUCUUGGGGGUAGACUAUAUAUAAACUUGGAUUUUGCGUUGAUUGGGAAAGACAGUUGGAUUUUAUUUUCUCCCCUUUCGGUAGGAGGAAAAGAAAAUUUAAUUA